GCCUCCUUAGCUCAGUCGGCAGAGCGCUUCCAUGGUAAGGAAGAGGUCGUGGGUUCGAUUCCCACAGGAGGCU
RNAcentral lists this transfer RNA (73 nucleotides) under Mycobacterium sp. RNAcentral's name for it is "tRNA-Thr". It matches the Rfam family "tRNA". From Rfam's summary of the family: Transfer RNA (tRNA) molecules are approximately 80 nucleotides in length. Their secondary structure includes four short double-helical elements and three loops (D, anti-codon, and T loops). Lineage: Bacteria; Bacillati; Actinomycetota; Actinomycetes; Mycobacteriales; Mycobacteriaceae. RNAcentral also lists the same sequence under 10 other names. The record is from RNAcentral.